Molecule: non-coding RNA, 70 nt
Filed under: unclassified sequences
Description: narK RNA
Rfam family: narK RNA
Source: RNAcentral
GGCUCAGCUCUUGCAAAUACCCUCGCAACGGCAUCCAAAGACGGUUGCCACCGCACGACAAAGACGUCGC